GAGUAACACGUACUUAACAUGCCCCUCUAGAUUGGAAUAACGAUUAGAAAUGAUCGCUAAUGCCGGAUACUUAUAUCUUUCGCAUGAAGGAUAUAUAAAAGGAGCGUUUGCUUCGCUAGAGGAUUGGGGUGCGUAACAUUAGCUAGUUGGUAGGGUAAUGGCCUACCAAGGCUAUGAUGUUUAGCGGGGUUGAGAGACUGAUCCGCCACACUGGGACUGAGAUACGGCCCAGACUCCUACGGGAGGCAGCAGUAGGGAAUUUUCCACAAUGGACGAAAGUCUGAUGGAGCGACACAGCGUGCAGGAUGACGGCCUUCGGGUUGUAAACUGCUGUUAUAAGGGAAGAAAAAAUAAAGUAGGAAAUGACUUUAUCUUGACGGUACCUUGUCAGAAAGCAACGGCUAACUAUGUGCCAGCAGCCGCGGUAAUACAUAGGUUGCAAGCGUUAUCCGGAAUUAUUGGGCGUAAAGCGUCUGUAGGUUGUUUGUUAAGUCUGACGUGAAAACUUGGGGCUCAACCCCAAAUUGCGUUGGAUACUGGCAAACUAGAGUUAUGAAGAGGUUAGCGGAAUUCCUUGUGAAGCGGUGAAAUGCGUAGAUAUAAGGAAGAACACCAACUUGGCGAAGGCAGCUAACUGGGCAUACACUGACACUGAGAGACGAAAGCGUGGGGAGCAAACAGGAUUAGAUACCCUGGUAGUCCACGCUGUAAACGAUGAUGAUUAGCUGAUGGGGAACUCAUCGGCACAGCUAACGCAUUAAAUCAUCCGCCUGAGUAGUAUGCUCGCAAGAGUGAAACUUAAAGGAAUUGACGGGGAUCCGCACAAGUCUGGUGGAACAUGUGGUUUAAUUUGACGAUACGCGUAGAACCUUACAGCGCUGCUGUGCACGACAUUCGAAUUAC
This 903-nucleotide ribosomal RNA is filed under the name uncultured Mycoplasma sp. RNAcentral describes it as "bacterial SSU rRNA". It matches the Rfam family "Bacterial small subunit ribosomal RNA", at positions 108 to 1005 of the family's 1533-position model. Lineage: Bacteria; Bacillati; Mycoplasmatota; Mollicutes; Mycoplasmatales; Mycoplasmataceae. The record is from RNAcentral.